This 730-nucleotide ribosomal RNA is filed under the name uncultured bacterium. RNAcentral describes it as "bacterial SSU rRNA". It matches the Rfam family "Bacterial small subunit ribosomal RNA", at positions 771 to 1501 of the family's 1533-position model. The record is from RNAcentral.
AACAGGAUUAGAUACCCUGGUAGUCCACGCCGUAAACGAUGUCGACUUGGAGGUUGUGCCCUUGAGGCGUGGCUUCCGGAGCUAACGCGUUAAGUCGACCGCCUGGGGAGUACGGCCGCAAGGUUAAAACUCAAAUGAAUUGACGGGGGCCCGCACAAGCGGUGGAGCAUGUGGUUUAAUUCGAUGCAACGCGAAGAACCUUACCUACUCUUGACAUCCAGAGAACUUAGCAGAGAUGCUUUGGUGCCUUCGGGAACUCUGAGACAGGUGCUGCAUGGCUGUCGUCAGCUCGUGUUGUGAAAUGUUGGGUUAAGUCCCGCAACGAGCGCAACCCUUAUCCUUUGUUGCCAGCGGUUCGGCCGGGAACUCAAAGGAGACUGCCAGUGAUAAACUGGAGGAAGGUGGGGAUGACGUCAAGUCAUCAUGGCCCUUACGAGUAGGGCUACACACGUGCUACAAUGGCGCAUACAAAGAGAAGCGACCUCGCGAGAGCAAGCGGACCUCAUAAAGUGCGUCGUAGUCCGGAUCGGAGUCUGCAACUCGACUCCGUGAAGUCGGAAUCGCUAGUAAUCGUAGAUCAGAAUGCUACGGUGAAUACGUUCCCGGGCCUUGUACACACCGCCCGUCACACCAUGGGAGUGGGUUGCAAAAGAAGUAGGUAGCUUAACCUUCGGGAGGGCGCUUACCACUUUGUGAUUCAUGACUGGGGUGAAGUCGUAACAAGGUAACC